GUGGGGAAUCUUGCGCAAUGGGCGAAAGCCUGACGCAGCCAUGCCGCGUGGAUGAUGAAGGUCUUAGGAUUGUAAAAUCCUUUCACCGGUGAAGAUAAUGACUGUAGCCGGAGAAGAAGCCCCGGCUAACUUCGUGCCAGCAGCCGCGGUAAUACGAAGGGGGCUAGCGUUGCUCGGAAUUACUGGGCGUAAAGGGAGCGUAGGCGGACAUUUAAGUCAGGGGUGAAAUCCCGAGGCUCAACCUCGGAACUGCCUUUGAUACUGGGUGUCUUGAGUGUGAGAGAGGUGAGUGGAACUCCGAGUGUAGAGGUGAAAUUCGUAGAUAUUCGGAAGAACACCAGUGGCGAAGGCGACUCACUGGCUCAUUACUGACGCUGAGGCUCGAAAGCGUGGGGAGCAAACAGGAUUAGAAACCCGGGUAGUCC
RNAcentral lists this ribosomal RNA (425 nucleotides) under uncultured bacterium. RNAcentral describes it as "bacterial SSU rRNA". It matches the Rfam family "Bacterial small subunit ribosomal RNA", at positions 354 to 796 of the family's 1533-position model. The record is from RNAcentral.